RNAcentral lists this ribosomal RNA (251 nucleotides) under uncultured bacterium. RNAcentral describes it as "partial 16S ribosomal RNA". It matches the Rfam family "Bacterial small subunit ribosomal RNA", at positions 524 to 776 of the family's 1533-position model. The record is from RNAcentral.
UACAGAGGUCCCAAGCGUUGUUCGGAUUCACUGGGCGUAAAGGGUGCGUAGGUGGUUGGGUAAGUCUGAUGUGAAAUCUCCGGGCUCAACCCGGAAAUGGCAUUGGAUACUAUUCGGCUAGAGGUUUGGAGGGGGACUGGAAUUCUCGGUGUAGCAGUGAAAUGCGUAGAUAUCGAGAGGAACACCAGUGGCGAAGGCGAGUCCCUGGACAACACCUGACACUGAGGCACGAAAGCUAGGGAGCAAACAGG